This 460-nucleotide ribosomal RNA is filed under the name uncultured bacterium. Its description in RNAcentral is "partial 16S ribosomal RNA". It matches the Rfam family "Bacterial small subunit ribosomal RNA", at positions 338 to 795 of the family's 1533-position model. The record is from RNAcentral.
CCUACGGGAGGCAGCAGUGAGGAAUAUUGGUCAAUGGGCGCGAGCCUGAACCAGCCAAGUAGCGUGAAGGAUGACUGCCCUACGGUUUGUAAACUUCUUUUAUAAAGGAAUAAAGUGAGGCUCGUGUGCCUUUUUGUAUGUACUUUAUGAAUUAGGAUCGGCUAACUCCGUUCCAUCAGCCGCGGUAAUACGGAGGAUCCGAGCGUUAUCCGGAUUUAUUGGGUUUAAAGGGAGCGUAGAUGGGUUGAUAAGUCAGUUGUGAAAGUUUGCGGCUCAACCGUAAAAUUGCAAUUGAUACUGGCAGUCUUGAGUACAGUUGAGGUAGGCGGAAUUCGUGGUGUAGCGGUGAAAUGCUUAGAUAUCACGAAGAACUCCGAUGGCGAAGGCAGCUUACUAAACUGCCACUGACAUUGAGGCUCGAAAGUGUGGGUAUCAAACAGGAUUAGAUACCCUUGUAGUC